CUUUCGCCUGCGAAGCUGGACUCUAGCUAGUCCUGGUGUGCUGGCCCCGGGAGUGUAAUUUCCGACGCCUAGCGCCGCAGAGCUUACAUUCUUGAGUGCGUUUUCGCUGGUGUACAAGUCGUCCUGUUGCUAAUAGCAGAAUCCUGACAGUGAAAGAAAAGCACUAGAAGGAACUUUUAGUCGUUGUUGAUUUGGCCGUUACGCUGAUGCCCCAAUCAAAAAAAGAAUUCUAAGACUGAUGAUCAGCCAUACAGAAGAAUAUAUUGAACUUACAGUUUUCUGAAGAAUCAGUUCAAAGAUCUCAGAAAUACAAAAGGAGAAGUACAAAUGUCUACCACA
RNAcentral lists this long non-coding RNA (339 nucleotides) under Bos mutus (wild yak). Its description in RNAcentral is "lncRNA (ENSBMUG00000007489.1)". The record is from RNAcentral. Lineage: Eukaryota; Metazoa; Chordata; Mammalia; Artiodactyla; Bovidae.